This 251-nucleotide long non-coding RNA is filed under the name Oryzias javanicus (javanese ricefish). Its description in RNAcentral is "lncRNA (ENSOJAG00000020092.1)". Lineage: Eukaryota; Metazoa; Chordata; Actinopteri; Beloniformes; Adrianichthyidae. The record is from RNAcentral.
GAUUCAUUUCCUUGUUGUGGUUUCUAUCAUAUAUUUACAGUAAUUCUGCUAAUUCAUCUCAGAUUUUUAAUUGGAUUUGUGUUGCCUUCACAGAGGAGAUAAUGAUGGUCUCUCGGAUGGAGCUAUCGCAGGAAUCGUCAUCGGCUGCCUUUUAGCCCUAGCACUCGCCAUUGGCCUGUUCUUUUACUGCCGAGGGAAAGUACCAAUUGAGUCACCGUACUGACAUCCCCGCAUACUGCUUGGCCAAAACA